This 352-nucleotide unclassified non-coding RNA is filed under the name plant metagenome. RNAcentral's name for it is "partial contains small subunit ribosomal RNA, internal transcribed spacer 1, and 5.8S ribosomal RNA". The record is from RNAcentral.
UUUCCGUAGGUGAACCUGCGGAAGGAUCAUUAUAAAUGAAAAACGAAUAACUUCAGGGAAGAAGGGAACCUGCACGGUGACCUCCCCUGUCGGGCCACCCAAUACCUUCAAAAUGCCGCCGUCCUAGCGGUGGCAGACGAAAAAAAAACAAGAAAAACAAAAUAGAAACAGGCACGGUGGCCCGUUCACCUUCACACAACCCUCCGAGUACCGCUUCCAUGUUGCUCCCCCGCAAAUCCACCUCUUUGGUGAGCGCGGGGGAGGUCCGCAUCAAAUUCACCUGAAUGUCACAGCAGUCAGACAGCCAUUCAUGGAAACAAUAAAACUUUCAACAACGGAUCUCUUGGUUCCC